Molecule: ribosomal RNA, 835 nt
Filed under: uncultured bacterium
Lineage: Bacteria
Description: bacterial SSU rRNA
Rfam family: Bacterial small subunit ribosomal RNA
Source: RNAcentral
CAUGCAAGUCGAACGAGAGAUGAGGAGCUUGCUCUUCAAAUCGAGUGGCGAACGGGUGAGUAACGCGUGAGGAACCUGCCUCAAAGAGGGGGACAACAGUUGGAAACGACUGCCAAUACCGCAUAAGCCCACGGCUCGGCAUCGAGCAGAGGGAAAAGGAGCAAUCCGCUUUGAGAUGGCCUCGCGUCCGAUUAGCUAGUUGGUGAGGUAACGGCCCACCAAGGCGACGAUCGGUAGCCGGACUGAGAGGUUGAACGGCCACAUUGGGACUGAGACACGGCCCAGACUCCUACGGGAGGCAGCAGUGGGGAAUAUUGCACAAUGGGGGAAACCCUGAUGCAGCGACGCCGCGUGGAGGGAGAAGGUCUUCGGAUUGUAAACUCCUGUUGUUGAGGAAGAUAAUGACGGUACUCAACAAGGAAGUGACGGCUAACUACGUGCCAGCAGCCGCGGUAAAACGUAGGUCACAAGCGUUGUCCGGAAUUACUGGGUGUAAAGGGAGCGCAGGCGGGAGAACAAGUUGGAAGUGAAAUCCAUGGGCUCAACCCAUGAACUGCUUUCAAAACUGUUUUUCUUGAGUAGUGCAGAGGUAGGCGGAAUUCCCGGUGUAGCGGUGGAAUGCGUAGAUAUCGGGAGGAACACCAGUGGCGAAGGCGGCCUACUGGGCACCAACUGACGCUGAGGCUCGAAAGUGUGGGUAGCAAACAGGAUUAGAUACCCUGGUAGUCCACACCGUAAACGAUGAUUACUAGGUGUUGGAGGAUUGACCCCUUCAGUGCCGCAGUUAACACAAUAAGUAAUCCACCUGGGGAGUACGACCGCAAGGUUGAAACUC